RNAcentral lists this ribosomal RNA (368 nucleotides) under uncultured soil bacterium. RNAcentral describes it as "bacterial SSU rRNA". It matches the Rfam family "Bacterial small subunit ribosomal RNA", at positions 26 to 399 of the family's 1533-position model. The record is from RNAcentral.
AGAUUGAACGCUGGCGGCAUGCCUUACACAUGCAAGUCGAACGGCAGCACGGGAGCAAUCCUGGUGGCGAGUGGCGAACGGGUGAGUAAUACAUCGGAACGUGCCCAAUCGUGGGGGAUAACGCAGCGAAAGCUGUGCUAAUACCGCAUAAGAUCUACGGAUGAAAGCAGGGGAUCGCAAGACCUUGCGCGAAUGGAGCGGCCGAUGGCAGAUUAGGUAGUUGGUGAGGUAAAGGCUCACCAAGCCUUCGAUCUGUAGCUGGUCUGAGAGGACGACCAGCCACACUGGGACUGAGACGCGGCCCAGACUCCUACGGGAGGCAGCAGUGGGAAUUUGGACAUGGGCGAAAGCCUGAUCCAGCCAUGCCG